CUCCGGUUGAUCCCGCCGGACCCGACUGCUAUCAGAGUGGGACUAAGCCAUGCGAGUUAACGCAGUAAUGCGUGGCAUACGGCUCAGUAACACGUAGUCAACAUGCCCAGGGGACGUGGAUAACCUCGGGAAACUGAGGAUAAACCGCGAUAGGCCAAGAUUUCUGGAAUGGAUCAUGACUGAAACCUAUAUGGCCCCUGGAUUGGACUGCGGCCGAUCAGGCUGUUGGUGAGGUAAUGGCCCACCAAACCUGUAACCGGUACGGGCUCUGAGAGGAGGAGCCCGGAGAUGGGCACUGAGAAAAGGGCCCAGGCCCUAUGGGGCGCAGCAGGCGCGAAACCUCUGCAAUAGGCGAAAGCUUGACAGGGUUACUCUGAGUGACGUCCGUUAAGGACGUCUUUUGGCACCUCUAAAAAUGGUGCAGAAUAAGGGGUGGGCAAGUCUGGUGUCAGCCGCCGCGGUAAUACCAGCACCCCGAGUGGUCGGGACGAUUAUUGGGCCUAAAGCAUCCGUAGCCGGUUCUGCAAGUCUUCCGUUAAAUCCACCUGCUCAACAGAUGGGCCGCGGAGGAUACUACAGGGCUAGGAGGCGGGAGAGGCAAGCGGUACUCAGUGGGUAGGGGUAAAAUCCUCUGAUCCACUGAAGACCACCAGUGGCGAAGGCGGCUUGCCAGAACGCGCUCGACGGUGAGGGAUGAAAGCUGGGGGAGCAAACCGGAUUAGAUACCCGGGUAGUCCCAGCCGUAAACGAUGCAGACUCGGUGAUGGGUUGGCUUUGCGCCAACCCAGUGCCGCAGGGAAGCCGUUAAGUCUGCCGCCUGGGGAGUACGGUCGCAAGACUGAAACUUAAAGGAAUUGGCGGGGGAGCA
RNAcentral lists this ribosomal RNA (868 nucleotides) under uncultured archaeon. Its description in RNAcentral is "bacterial SSU rRNA". It matches the Rfam family "Archaeal small subunit ribosomal RNA", at positions 1 to 878 of the family's 1478-position model. The record is from RNAcentral.